Molecule: small nuclear RNA, 104 nt
Organism: Lagenorhynchus albirostris (white-beaked dolphin)
Lineage: Eukaryota; Metazoa; Chordata; Mammalia; Artiodactyla; Delphinidae
Source: RefSeq, a predicted model, not a curated record
GUGCUCGCUUUGGCAGCACAUAUACUAAAAUUGGAACGAUACAGAGAUUAGCACGGUCCCUGCGCAAAGGUGCCAUGCAAAUUCGUGAAGCGUUCCAUUUUUUU